ACAGUACUCCCUCUGUCUCAAAAUUCUUGUCUUAGAAUUGUCUAGAUACGGAUGUAUCUAAUACUAAAACGUGACUUGAUACAUCCGUAUUUAGACAAAUCUAAGACAAGAAUUUUGAGACGGAGGGAGUACUUC
Molecule: non-coding RNA, 135 nt
Organism: Triticum urartu
Lineage: Eukaryota; Viridiplantae; Streptophyta; Magnoliopsida; Poales; Poaceae
Source: Rfam